Molecule: unclassified non-coding RNA, 343 nt
Filed under: soil metagenome
Description: partial contains 5.8S ribosomal RNA, internal transcribed spacer 2, and large subunit ribosomal RNA
Rfam family: 5.8S ribosomal RNA (bases 1-119)
Source: RNAcentral
GAUGAAGAACGUAGCGAAAUGCGAUACGUAAUGUGAAUUGCAAAUUCAGUGAAUCAUCGAGUCUUUGAACGCACAUUGCGCCCCCUGGUAUUCCGGGGGGCAUGCCUGUCCGAGCGUCAUUACUGCCCUCAAGCCCGGCUUGUGUGUUGGGCCCCGUCCUCCGAUCCCGGGGGACGGGCCCGAAAGGCAGCGGCGGCACCGCGUCCGGUCCUCGAGCGUAUGGGGCUUUGUCACCCGCUCUGUAGGCCCGGCCGGCGCUUGCCGAUCAACCCCAAUUUUUUAUAGGUUGACCUCGGAUCAGGUAGGGAUACCCGCUGAACUUAAGCAUAUCAAAAGCGGAGGA